Ananas comosus (pineapple) is the source of this 463-nucleotide long non-coding RNA. RefSeq lists it as uncharacterized. NCBI's taxonomy places the organism in Eukaryota, Viridiplantae, Streptophyta, Magnoliopsida, Poales, Bromeliaceae. The record is from RefSeq and is a predicted model, not a curated record. The transcript is spliced from 3 exons.
UUGUCGAGCAGAAUCUGAGGUGUUGAUCUGCAGAUCCCAGCGUCGGCCUUCGGUACUUCGGCUCGUGCGCGACGUAGGAGCGACGGAUCGCGACGAAAUCGGGUUUGCUGGAUUCUAGACUGCGAGAAGAAUCCACAGAGUCCAAGUUUGCUGGAUUUGGAAAGCAGGUGGAUUCGGUUUUGAGCGGGACGCGUUGGGUUUUCGCGGACUCGGCCACUCCCUUCGUUGCCAGGAGAUUAGCGAUCGAGGACCUUCGGUCUCGGCUGCUGCUCCUUCUGAGGCGGAUCGCGGCAAGGGCGUCGCGAGCUAGAGCCCUUCCCGACUGGUGCUGAGUUAGCAGUUUUCCCCUACUGCAGGUAGUGUGCUCGUGUUUUGGGAGCUAUGUACAUAUUUGUGAACUCGUUGGAGCGAGUGCUUUUGUAUAGAGAUUUUUGUAUGUAUAUAGACUCGUUCUUUCUCUACC